This 1085-nucleotide long non-coding RNA is filed under the name Rattus norvegicus (Norway rat). RNAcentral's name for it is "long non-coding RNA NONRATT033208". The record is from RNAcentral. Lineage: Eukaryota; Metazoa; Chordata; Mammalia; Rodentia; Muridae.
GUGUGCCUCUCCUGAUCAGUGGAGGCAUAAACACAGACAAUCUGCUGCAUGUAUGUUUUUCUCAGCUUUACCAUGUAGCUCUGAGGUAUUGUCUUUACAUAUGGUCAUUACCAGCUGUGUAUAGUGUCCUGAACAAACCAUAAAAGCUCAGUAAGACUUCAUGGAAGAGGCAUUCAAAGCUUCAUACUUCCUUCUCUUAUAAAAAUGACUAAUGCAAGCAUAUUUUAUUGAGAGCAUUCAGACCAGGUAAAGGAAGCAACUUGUUCCAAGUCUCUCAACUUGGGGAAAUCUGAGGGGAGGUUGGAGAGUCAUUGAUGUAGCAGCAGUUCACACUUCCUGUGCACAGAUGGGAGGGAUGGCUCAGGAGGUAAAGCCACUUUCCUCCAGGAUUGAUGACCUGAGUUCAGACCCCCUGACUAGUGCUGGAAGGAGAAAACCAACUCCCACAGUUUUCCUCCCCCCAGUGUACACAUUGUUAACUUGAUCUACUGUCACCUGAUGGUGUCAUGGCCCUGUGUGUGGAAGAGGAGACAGCUUGGAGAAGUGAGGGUUGCAGCAUACACUGCAGAAGAACAGAGACUUCAAACAUCAGAGGGCCUGUAUAAGAUGGGACAUUGGCGUGAGCAGAGCAUCUCACCAUGUGUGCUCUUGGCUGGUGCUGUGCGUACUACCCUUAGGAGCCAGUCUGCAGUCUCUCCUGGAGCCUAGGGAUAGGCUACAGCCAAGCAGAAUAGGCAGCAUGUUGACGCCCUGAGACAGCCCCUCCAUUGGUUUCUUUUAUAGUAAGUUCAAGAGAUUUUGAAUGUCCUCUCUCCUUUCCCAAGGUCUGAUAAAUCGACAAGUCACCGUGGGAAAGCAACUGGCUGCAUCAGAACCAGAGUGCAGUCCCAUUUCAGGGCAGUGUCCCACAUGUGGACCCCAGCUGCUUAGUGUUGUCCCAGACACCUGGUGUCAGAUCACAAGGACCCAGGUCCACAGGGAUCAUUUCAGCCAUGAGGAUAGGACAAGGGCCAUACUGCCUGAAGACGGACUCUUCUGACUGGGCUAGGUGGGUAGCCAUCAGAGGAGACAGAGAGGACCAGGAG